GAGUUUGAUUCUGGCUCAGAUUGAACGCUGGCGGCAUGCUUUACACAUGCAAGUCGAACGGCAGCACAGGGAGCUUGCUCCUGGGUGGCGAGUGGCGAACGGGUGAGUAAUGUAUCGGAACGUGCCUGGUAGUGGGGGAUAACCACUCGAAAGAGUGGCUAAUACCGCAUGAGAUCUCUGGAUGAAAGCGGGGGACCUUUGGGCCUCGCGCUACUGGAGCGGCCGAUAUCAGAUUAGGUUGUUGGUGGGGUAAAGGCCUACCAAGCCUGCGAUCUGUAGCUGGUCUGAGAGGACGACCAGCCACACUGGGAGUGAGACACGGCCCAGACUCCUACGGGAGGCAGCAGUGGGGAAUUUUGGACAAUGGGCGCAAGCCUGAUCCAGCAAUGCCGCGUGCAGGACGAAGGCCUUCGGGUUGUAAACUG
RNAcentral lists this ribosomal RNA (425 nucleotides) under Brachymonas sp. canine oral taxon 015. RNAcentral's name for it is "bacterial SSU rRNA". It matches the Rfam family "Bacterial small subunit ribosomal RNA", at positions 9 to 432 of the family's 1533-position model. The record is from RNAcentral. Lineage: Bacteria; Pseudomonadati; Pseudomonadota; Betaproteobacteria; Burkholderiales; Comamonadaceae.